GCAUCGCGACGUCAAGAUAUAAUAAUAAAACGUUAAGGUUAUAAGGUUAUAUUUGAAUCUGUUGCAGAAAAUAUAUUUGGUGCUAUCGAGGUAAAGCGAAAAGAAGACCGGUAUACUUUUAUAGCUGGGAUUUCUUCAGCUGGAAUUGCAUACGGUCUUAUACCGUAUGCAAUCCCAGCUGAAGAACUUUGCUAAACAGCGUAACAUAUUGGUUAUAAAGAUUUGGCAGUAACAGAUAAUAGAGGGAAGUGCAAUCCAGCGCUUAUAAUCGAACACAAUGACUUGGGUUCUCAAAGGUUUUACAAUGCACGGAGUAAGCAAAGUUUCAAAUAUGAUCACUUGAGGAAGGAAGUGCAAAAUUAUGAACCUUAUGAACCAGAUCCUAUAGCGGAGCAUUGGAGGUCAGCUUUUCAAGACGAGAUAACAAAUUAUACUCAAAGUCAUUAUAGACACGGCGCCUGCUCAGUUUUUGGAAUAAGAAUAUUAAAAGAAAUAAUUUAAAAAAAGAGAAGAAAAGCGCAUUUUGCGUGAAGUCUGGACGUAUAAUAUGCAUGGGAGCAAACUAUAACAAUACUAAAUAGGAUUCAAUAAAAUUAACGAAUGCCAAUUCUACAUAAAUAAAACUGUAUUAUCAACAAUAAUAUAUAUGUUCAAAAAUAAUAUAUAUGUGCUUAUAUUAUAUUAUCUCACAAUAAUACAGUAUAGU
This is a long non-coding RNA of Formica exsecta, 706 nucleotides long. RefSeq lists it as uncharacterized. The record is from RefSeq and is a predicted model, not a curated record. Lineage: Eukaryota; Metazoa; Arthropoda; Insecta; Hymenoptera; Formicidae. The transcript has 3 exons.